CUGCUCAGUAACACGUGGACAACCUACCCUAUGGAGGGGGAUAACCCCGGGAAACUGGGGAUAAUACCCCAUAGACUAUAGAUGCUGGAAUGCUUUGUAGUUGAAAGGUCCGCCGCCAUAGGAUGGGUCUGCGGCCGAUUAGGUUGUUGUUGGGGUAACGGCCCAACAAGCCUGUAAUCGGUACGGGUUGUGGGAGCAAGAGCCCGGAGAUGGAUUCUGAGACACGAAUCCAGGCCCUACGGGGCGCAGCAGGCGCGAAAACUUUACAAUGCGGGAAACCGUGAUAAGGGAACUCCGAGUGCCCGUAAAAUCGGGCUGUCCAUCUGUUUAAAUAACAGGUGAAGAAAGGGCCGGGCAAGACCGGUGCCAGCCGCCGCGGUAAUACCGGCGGCUCGAGUGGUGGCCACUAUUACUGGGCUUAAAGCGUUCGUAGCUGGUCUGUUAAGUCUCUGGGGAAAUCUACUGGCUUAACCAAUAGGCGUCUCAGGGAUACUGGCAGACUAGGGACCGGGAGAGGUGAGAGGUACUCCAGGGGUAGGAGUGAAAUCCUGUAAUCCUUGGGGGACCACCUGUGGCGAAGGCGUCUCACCAGAACGGCUCCGACAGUGAGGGACGAAAGCUGGGGGAGCAAACCGGAUUAGAUACCCGGGUAGU
This 654-nucleotide ribosomal RNA is filed under the name uncultured Methanoregula sp. RNAcentral's name for it is "bacterial SSU rRNA". It matches the Rfam family "Archaeal small subunit ribosomal RNA", at positions 86 to 745 of the family's 1478-position model. The record is from RNAcentral. Lineage: Archaea; Methanobacteriati; Methanobacteriota; Methanomicrobia; Methanomicrobiales; Methanoregulaceae.